This 484-nucleotide ribosomal RNA is filed under the name uncultured bacterium. RNAcentral's name for it is "partial 16S ribosomal RNA". It matches the Rfam family "Bacterial small subunit ribosomal RNA", at positions 29 to 507 of the family's 1533-position model. The record is from RNAcentral.
AUUGAACGCUGGCGGCAUGCUUUACACAUGCAAGUCGAACGGCAGCGCGGGCUUCGGCCUGGCGGCGAGUGGCGAACGGGUGAGUAAUACAUCGGAACGUGCCCAGUAGUGGGGGAUAGCUCGGCGAAAGCCGGAUUAAUACCGCAUACGACCUGAGGGUGAAAGCGGGGGAGCUUCGGACCUCGCGCUAUUGGAGCGGCCGAUGGCAGAUUAGCUAGUUGGUGGGGUAAAGGCCUACCAAGGCGACGAUCUGUAGCUGGUCUGAGAGGACGACCAGCCACACUGGGACUGAGACACGGCCCAGACUCCUACGGGAGGCAGCAGUGGGGAAUUUUGGACAAUGGGCGAAAGCCUGAUCCAGCAAUGCCGCGUGUGUGAUGAAGGCCUUCGGGUUGUAAAGCACUUUUGGCGGGAACGAAAAGGACUGUGCCAAUACCACGGUUCGAUGACGGUACCCGCAGAAUAAGCACCGGCUAACUACGUG